AUGGCUGAUAAGCUGGCAACAAAGAUGAGGAACCGAACUAGCAGCGGGAAUCCAUACAUGGCCCUUCAUCUGAGAUAUGAGAAAGGAAUGGUGGGCUUGUCCUUUUGUGAUUUUGCUGGAACACGUGAUGAGAAAGUGAUGAUGGCAGCUUAUAGACAGAAAGAAUGGCCACGGCGCUUUAAGAAUGGAUCUCACCUGUGGCCAUUAGCACUGCAAAAGAGAAAAGAACGUGUUGCCCCCUUGAGCCUGGUGAGAUAG
This 258-nucleotide ribosomal RNA is filed under the name Triticum aestivum (bread wheat). Its description in RNAcentral is "partial small subunit ribosomal RNA". Lineage: Eukaryota; Viridiplantae; Streptophyta; Magnoliopsida; Poales; Poaceae. The record is from RNAcentral.